GUUGCGGUUAAAAAGCUCGUAGUUGGAUCUCGGUUUCACUCAGGUGGUACACCUUGCGGUGUUCACUAUCUGGGUGGACGUUUCUGUUGGUUCGCUCUUGGUGCUCUUCAUCGGGUGCCAUUUGGUGGCCAGCACGUUUACUUUAAAAAAAUUGGAGUGCUCAAAGCAGGCGUUACAGCCUGAACAUUAGUGCAUGGAAUAAUGGAAUAGGAUCUCGAUUCUAUUUCGUUGGCUUUCGGAGUCGAGGUAAUGAUUAAUAGGGACAGACGGGGGCAUUCGUACUGCGACGUUAGAGGUGAAAUUCUUGGAUCGUCGCAAGACGAACUACUGCGAAAGCAUUUGCCAAGAAUGUUUUCAUUAAUCAAGAACGAAAGUUAGAGGUUCGAAGGCGAUCAGAUACCGCCCUAGUUCUAACCAUAAACGAUGCCAACCGGCGAUCCGUCGUCGUUAAUUGAAUGACUCGACGGGCAGCCUCCGGGAAACCAGAGUGUUUGGGUUCCGGGGGAAGUAUGGUUGCAAAGCUGAAACUUAAAGGAAUUGACGGAAGGGCACCACCAGGAGUGGAGCCUGCGGCUUAAUUUGACUCAACACGGGAAAUCUCACCAGGCCCGGACACCGGAAGGAUUGACAGAUUGAGAGCUCUUUCUUGAUUCGGUGGGUGGUGGUGCAUGGCCGUUCUUAGUUGGUGGAGCGAUUUGUCUGGUUAAUUCCGAUAACGAACGAGACUCUGGCCUACUAACUAGAAGGUCUAUCCUUUAUGGGUAGGCCUCUGCUUCUUAGAGGGACGGGCGGCGUUUAGCCGCACGAGAAUGAGCAAUAACAGGUCUGUGAUGCCCUUAGAUGUUCUGGGCUGCACGCGCGCUACACUGAAGGAAUCAGCAUGUUCUCCCCUCCCUGAAAAGGGCGGGUAACCCGUUGAAACUCCUUCGUGAUGGGGAUUGGAGAUUGUAAUUAUUCUCCAUGAACGAGGAAUUCCCAGUAGGCGCGAGUCAUCAGCUUGCGUCGAUUACGUCCCUGCCCUUUGUACACACCGCCCGUCGCUACUACCGAUCGAGUGAUUUAGUGAGGACUUCGGACUGGUCUUCAAGUUGGCUUCGGUCGGCUCGAAGUUCCGGAAAGAUGCCCAAACUUGAUCACUUAGAGGAAGUAAAAGUCGUAACAAGGUUUCCGUAGGUGAACCUGCGGAAG
RNAcentral lists this ribosomal RNA (1188 nucleotides) under metagenome. Its description in RNAcentral is "SSU rRNA". It matches the Rfam family "Eukaryotic small subunit ribosomal RNA", at positions 612 to 1823 of the family's 1831-position model. The record is from RNAcentral.